This is a long non-coding RNA of Podarcis raffonei (Aeolian wall lizard), 1348 nucleotides long. RefSeq lists it as uncharacterized. The record is from RefSeq and is a predicted model, not a curated record. NCBI's taxonomy places the organism in Eukaryota, Metazoa, Chordata, Lepidosauria, Squamata, Lacertidae. The transcript is spliced from 3 exons.
GAAAUAAUAAUAAAGGAUUAUCAUCAUUGAUUUUUAAAUUAUUAUUCUUAUUAUUAUUAGAAAACCUGAGUGAAGUUUGUAAUAUAUUACGUUUUGUCGAAUUUUUUAAUAAUCUGUUGGGGAAGGGGAAUAAAUGAGGAUUAUCCUUCAUUUUUAAAUUGUUAGCAUUAUUAUAAUGGUUCUUAUUGUAAAAAGGUCUGCUCUGCUGAAUUCCUGUUCUGAAAAGGAGGAGGAGGAAACUUCGCGUGAUGAAGGGAGAAGAGGAGAUGGAGGAAAAGUCAUGAAGCUCCUUUAACCAAACACCUGAUUCGCCCAGCAGCGUGGCAGCGAAAGGAAAGAGGAGAAAAAGAGGCAAGGCAGCAGUGGAAAAAGAUGGGUUGCCUGUAUGGGCUCUGCUUUAUUCCUUAAUGUCGAAUGCUACAUCUGCCUAAGUCCACUUCCAUCCACCGGAAAAGCUUCUUAGCCGCAAGGAGCAAAGGGAACGGUGGGAAAUACCUAGCUAUCUCUCUAAAUCGGUAAGACCGCACAGUUCCUACACUUCCACAAGGCCUGGCCCUUUCCAGAGGUGCAGCCUGACUUCUCCAAAGGUGGAUUUCAGCUCAAACAGCUGCUUGACUAGUUUCUUUUCCUAUCCUCACACCCGUAACCCUGGCAGCCUCCCAGAGAACAGUCUAUUCCUCGAUGGUCCGGGAGAUUGCAUUUUCCCACGUCUCCAGAUAUUGAAACCCUAGCAUUUACUAAUCUCUUAAUGCAGUUUUGGGGUGUGUUUGUGUGUGUCAGCCCUUAAAAAUCAACUGUGCAAAGAUUUAAGACUUUCACCUGCUAUGCAUAUAGGCUGGGAGCCCCAAUGGCAGGAGACUAAGUGGGCUGAGCCCCUGCAACAGGGGCCGAAACCAAAAGCCAGUUGAAUCAUUACAUUGACAAAUACUGGCACAUAUGUAUGCGUUUUGGAAAUUUGCAGCAGUUUGUAGUGCUAAGAGAGGUGUUUUAAAGAAAAAACACUUUAUACACUUAUGAGCGUUCCCUUAGAGUAGGCUCAUGGUUGUUUCCUUUUCUGGAGGUAUAAAUGUUCUUAGCAGAUGUACAAUCCCCCCGAAGGCUUCAGGCCUCCUGACUGUUGAAAUGCUCCUGGGGAGACUGUAAGCAGCACCUCCUCCGCUCCCAGUCAGCAAAAGGGGAUGGCAAGGUGUGCUUCAUGGCGCAACUUGCAGCUGCAGUUUAAAGUGCCUUAAAAGUGCCAUUUUAUAGGGUAACAGUGACAUCACAACCAAGGUUGGUGGUUCUCCUGCAUAUUUCUGCCUUGCAGUGGGCUGGGCUGGAUGAUCCUUGAGGUCCCUUCCAGAUGUAG